This 254-nucleotide ribosomal RNA is filed under the name uncultured bacterium. RNAcentral describes it as "partial 16S ribosomal RNA". It matches the Rfam family "Bacterial small subunit ribosomal RNA", at positions 524 to 776 of the family's 1533-position model. The record is from RNAcentral.
UACGUAGGGUGCAAGCAUUAAUCGGAUUUAUUGGGCGUAAAGGGCGCGUAGGCGGGAAUGCCAGUCAGAUGUGAAAUCCCGGGGCUCAACCUCGGAACAGCAUUUGAAACUACAUUUCUAGAGGGUAGACGGAGAAAACGGAAAUUCCACAAGUAGCGGUGAAAUGCGUAGAUAUGUGGAAGAACACCAGUGGCGAAGGCGGUUUUCUAGUUUAUACCUGACGCUGAUGCGCGAAAGCAAGGGGAGCAAACAGG